RNAcentral lists this ribosomal RNA (253 nucleotides) under uncultured bacterium. RNAcentral describes it as "partial 16S ribosomal RNA". It matches the Rfam family "Bacterial small subunit ribosomal RNA", at positions 524 to 776 of the family's 1533-position model. The record is from RNAcentral.
UACGGAGGGUGCAAGCGUUGUCCGGAAUUAUUGGGCGUAAAGAGCUCGUAGGCGGUUUGUCGCGUCGAAUGUGAAAACCCGGGGCUCAACCCCGGGCCUGCAUUCGAUACGGGCAGACUAGAGUUCGGUAGGGGAGUCUGGAAUUCCAGGUGUAGCGGUGAAGUGCGUAGAUAUCUGGAGGAACACCGGUGGCGAAGGCGGCAUCCUGGACCGGUAUUGACACUGAGGCGCGAAAGCCAGGGGAGCAAACGGG